This 252-nucleotide ribosomal RNA is filed under the name uncultured bacterium. Its description in RNAcentral is "partial 16S ribosomal RNA". It matches the Rfam family "Bacterial small subunit ribosomal RNA", at positions 524 to 776 of the family's 1533-position model. The record is from RNAcentral.
UACGUAUGGGGCGAGCGUUGUCCGGAAUUAUUGGGCGUAAAGGGUACGUAGGCGGUUAGAAAAGUUAGAAGUGAAAUCCUAUAGCUCAACUAUAGUAAGCUUUUAAAACUGCUCAUCUUGAGGUAUGGAAGGGAAAGUGGAAUUCCUAGUGUAGCGGUGAAAUGCUUAGAUAUUAGGAGGAAUACCGGUGGCGAAGGCGACUUUCUGGCCAUAAACUGACGCUGAGGUACGAAAGCGUGGGUAGCAAACAGG